Molecule: long non-coding RNA, 332 nt
Filed under: Chloebia gouldiae (Gouldian finch)
Lineage: Eukaryota; Metazoa; Chordata; Aves; Passeriformes; Passeridae
Description: Erythrura gouldiae (Gouldian finch) lncRNA (ENSEGOG00005012619.1)
Source: RNAcentral
CCAGGAGCUGCUUCCCGAGGGAAAUGUUGUGUGCCCAGCUCCUUGUCCUGGCGGUGGCCACGGGGCCGUUCCGAGCUGGGGCUGCUCAGGAAGCCUGCAGGACAGCAGAGGUGGCCAAGGUUCUGUUCCUCGUGGGGCAGUCGGAGGCUGCAGGGAAGGAGAGCUCGCGGCUGCUCCAGGAUUUCAUCGGGAGCGUGGCCAGAUCCUUCGAGAACGCGGAGAUGGGAAGAGGAGGAGUCCAGCUGGGCCUGGCUGUGUAUGGGGAGACACCAAGGAUGAGUGUCGAGCUCACGGAUUACGUGGCCAUGAAAGAAAGGCUGGAUGCAGUUCAG